Molecule: ribosomal RNA, 468 nt
Filed under: uncultured bacterium
Lineage: Bacteria
Description: partial 16S ribosomal RNA
Rfam family: Bacterial small subunit ribosomal RNA
Source: RNAcentral
GACGAACGCUGGCGGCGUGCUUAACACAUGCAAGUCGAACGGAAAGGCCCUGCUUUUGUGGGGUGCUCGAGUGGCGAACGGGUAAGUAACACGUGAGUAACCUGCCCUUGACUUUGGGAUAACUUCAGGAAACUGGGGCUAAUACCGGAUAGGAGCUCCUGCUGCAUGGUGGGGGUUGGAAAAUUUCGGCGGUUGGGGAUGGACUCGCGGCUUAUCAGCUUGUUGGUGGGGUAGUGGCUUACCAAGGCUUUGACGGGUAGCCGGCCUGAGAGGGUGACCGGCCACAUUGGGACUGAGAUACGGCCCAGACUCCUACGGGAGGCAGCAGUGGGGAAUAUUGCACAAUGGGCGGAAGCCUGAUGCAGCAACGCCGCGUGCGGGAUGACGGCCUUCGGGUUGUAAACCGCUUUCGCCUGUGACGAAGCGUGAGUGACGGUAAUGGGUAAAGAAGCACCGGCUAACUACGUG